CAUUCUUGCACUGAAACAGCUAUCACCAAAGAACACAAGUCAAAAUGCAAAUUCAGAAUGACUUUCCUUGUCUGUGACAUGUCAAGAGACAAUGAUAUAAUGUAACAAAAUUGUCUCUUUCUUUUUAGAAAAAGAAAAAGGAAAAGAAGAAAUCAAAUAGGGUGAGCAAAGUUUUCAGGUUUUUAAGUUUUAUGUGCCUUGAGUUCCUGAAAAGACAAAAUAAGACUGUAAUUUGGAAUUUUACAUAGAUGUUUAAGUAACUAUGCUUAUGUUACCUGUUAUCUGAGAGUAGUAGUUUAGUUUGUAUUUGAGGGGAAAAGAUUUAAAAAUAAGAAGGUCUUACUUUAAAAAUAGAAAAUAUGGCUAAAAUGCCAUACAUUUGCUUGUUUGAGGAAAUAUCACUCAUACAGCUUAAUUUAAGAAAAUUUCCGCAGGCUAGACUCUUGAAACUAAGAUCACUGUAGAUAAUAUUUGCAAAUGCAGAGACAAAUUUGAGAGAGUAUUUGGAUGUUCCUUUAACUAUUUCUCAAACAGACAAAAUGCUUCAUCUCACAAGCUUUAAUUUUUGUUGUGUUUGGUCAAGUUGUCUUCAUCUUCCUCUUCUUCAUCAAGCUCUGAUUCUUCCAGCAGUUCAUCUGAUUCUGAUGAUGAGGAUAAGAAACAAGGGAAAAAACGGAGAAAGAAGAAGUAUCGCUCCUUGCGGAAAUCUUCUGAAAGCUCUACGUCUGAUUCUGAAUCGGACAGCAAGGACAGCACAAAAAAGAAAAAAUCAAAGGAAGAACAUGAAAGAGAAAAGGACAACAAAAGUCUGA
RNAcentral lists this long non-coding RNA (812 nucleotides) under Gopherus evgoodei (Goodes thornscrub tortoise). RNAcentral's name for it is "lncRNA (ENSGEVG00005016480.1)". The record is from RNAcentral. Lineage: Eukaryota; Metazoa; Chordata; Testudines; Testudinidae.